GCCCANAUUGAGCCUACGGUCCACUUAGAG
Molecule: non-coding RNA, 30 nt
Filed under: Homo sapiens (human)
Lineage: Eukaryota; Metazoa; Chordata; Mammalia; Primates; Hominidae
Source: RNAcentral